UAUUGCCUACGGGGCGCAGCAGUGAGGAAUAUUGGUCAAUGGGCUUACGCCUGAACCAGCCAAGUCGCGUGAGGGAAGACUGCCCUAUGGGUUGUAAACCUCUUUUGUCAGGGAGCAACGCCGGCUACGUGUAGCCGGACUGAGAGUACCUGAAGAAAAAGCAUCGGCUAACUCCGUGCCAGCAGCCGCGGUAAUACGGAGGAUCCGAGCGUUAUCCGGAUUUAUUGGGUUUAAAGGGAGCGUAGAUGGGUUGUUAAGUCAGUUGUGAAAGUUUGCGGCUCAACCGUAAAAUUGCAAUUGAUACU
RNAcentral lists this ribosomal RNA (305 nucleotides) under uncultured bacterium. RNAcentral's name for it is "bacterial SSU rRNA". It matches the Rfam family "Bacterial small subunit ribosomal RNA", at positions 333 to 634 of the family's 1533-position model. The record is from RNAcentral.